This 217-nucleotide ribosomal RNA is filed under the name Campeiostachys nutans. RNAcentral's name for it is "Elymus nutans partial small subunit ribosomal RNA". The stretch from base 40 to 217 matches the Rfam family "Eukaryotic small subunit ribosomal RNA", at positions 686 to 864 of the family's 1831-position model. Lineage: Eukaryota; Viridiplantae; Streptophyta; Magnoliopsida; Poales; Poaceae. The record is from RNAcentral.
GGGUUAGUAGGUUGGUCAUGCCUCUGGUAUGUACUGGUCUCACUGAUCCCUCCUUCCUGAUGAGCCGUAAUGCCAUUAAUUUGGUGUUGCGGGGAAUUUGGACUGUUACUUUGAAAAAAUUAGAGUGUUUAAAGCAGGCAAAAUGCUUGAAUACAUUAGCAUGGAAUAAUAGAAUAGGACGUGCGGUUCUAUUUUGUUGGUUUCUAGGAUCGCCGUA